RNAcentral lists this ribosomal RNA (346 nucleotides) under uncultured bacterium. RNAcentral's name for it is "partial 16S ribosomal RNA". It matches the Rfam family "Bacterial small subunit ribosomal RNA", at positions 338 to 682 of the family's 1533-position model. The record is from RNAcentral.
CCUACGGGAGGCAGCAGUGAGGAAUAUUGGUCAAUGGGCUGAGGCCUGAACCAGCCAAGUCGCGUGAGGGAAGACGGUCCUAUGGAUUGUAAACCUCUUUUGUCGGGGAGCAACGAGGCCACGGGGGGCCGAAGUGAGAGUACCCGAAGAAAAAGCAUCGGCUAACGCCGUGCCAGCAGCCGCGGUAAUACGGAGGAUGCGAGCGUUAUCCGGAUUUAUUGGGUUGAAAGGGUGCGUAGGCGGAACAUUAAGUCAGCGGUAAAAUCGAGGGGCUCACCCCCUUUAAGCCGUUGAAACUGGUGAUCUUGCGUGGGCGUGCAGUAUGCGUCCUGCGUGUUGUAGCGGU